GCUGUAGGGUACCCAGGCUCUUUGCCUUAUAGCAUUGUAGUCCUGCACUCUGUUCUCUUGGGAAGUCCUCAGACACCCAGCACCUUCCUGAGCUCAUACUCUGCUAACUCCCUGAAGCAUCUAGGUAUUCUCUGAGAUCGUAAGCAUCCAGAGACUGUUCAGAUCUGCCCAUAUUCCGCAGGUCAUGAUGCUGAGUGCUAGAAUCAGUUCAGGGGUGGGCUUUGUAGUAAGAAUUCUGGAAUUUUGGAUUCUUUAAAAAAAAAAAAAAAAAGCACAGAUAUAUUAUAAGACUGUGUUUUUGUCUUACUCCCAGGUGUGGGGCUAUGUGGCUGCUUUGCAGCAGCUGACUAUGAUUUGCCUCGUGCUCUAACAGGGGCAUGGUUUUACCCAGCUUCAGAUAGUUUCUGCAAUUGUGUGACUUUGGAAUUCUGGGAAUUUUUCAGAGGAUAUAUCAAUGCUAAGUCCCUGAGAGGUGGGGUUCAUGGUUGUUAGUUGUUCAGGGGGGGUUAGUUGCAGUUUGUUAGUAGUCGUGCUC
This 535-nucleotide long non-coding RNA is filed under the name Mus musculus (house mouse). RNAcentral's name for it is "long non-coding RNA chr5:34554700-34555235". Lineage: Eukaryota; Metazoa; Chordata; Mammalia; Rodentia; Muridae. The record is from RNAcentral.